AAUCCAUAGUGCGGGCAUUUCUGAAUCAACAUUUUAAAAUGUUCCCAAGCCUUGCAAAUACUUUCUCCUUCAAUUUGUCUAAAAACAUCAAUUUCUCUUCUUAGUUG
Gossypium raimondii (Peruvian cotton) is the source of this 107-nucleotide small nucleolar RNA. It matches the Rfam family "Plant small nucleolar RNA R71". From Rfam's summary of the family: R71 is a member of the C/D box family of snoRNAs containing the C (UGAUGA) and D (CUGA) box motifs. Multiple nearly identical copies of this snoRNA have been identified in Arabidopsis, and it is thought to function as a 2'-O-ribose methylation guide for 18S ribosomal RNA. Lineage: Eukaryota; Viridiplantae; Streptophyta; Magnoliopsida; Malvales; Malvaceae. The record is from Rfam.